Molecule: non-coding RNA, 45 nt
Organism: Schistosoma curassoni
Lineage: Eukaryota; Metazoa; Platyhelminthes; Trematoda; Strigeidida; Schistosomatidae
Source: Rfam
UUCCGACUGACGAGUCCCAAAUAGGACGAAACAUGUAUUCUGGAU